UGCAUGUUCCUUUGUACUUCUGUUCCCUUAAUGUGUGCCAAUAGUUUUCAUCAACUCACUCUUUUUGGUAUGAAACAUUUGUGACAGAUUUUCAUUCUGCAACCUGAUUGCUGCAUGCUAAGUUUUGCUCUGAACUGUAUGCAAAUAUUCCUCUUCCUCUUUAUUUUAGUAUUUAGAGGAAAAGAAACAGAUUGCUCUCUCAUUUCUCACACCAUGGUCUCCUCAUCUCUCUUGCUGUUUCUGCUGCUAGCAGCAGUCUCUCGUGUCCACUGUGUUGAACUGACCCAGACUGAUUCUGUGGUCUUAAGGCCUGGUCAGGUUUUGACUCUGUCCUGUAAGAUCUCUGGAUAUUCAUUGACUGACAGCAGCUACUGCACUGGCUUCAUACGACAGGCUGCAGGAAAAGCUCUGGAAUGGGUCGGAGAGAUAUGUGGUGAUGGUAACACAUAUUACAGCGAUAAACUGAAAAGUAGAUAUCAAGUUAGCAGAGACACUUCCAGCAGCACAGUGACUCUACAAGGACAGAAUAUGCAGACUGAGGACACAGCUGUGUAUUACUGCGCCAGAGAGUCACAGUGACACAAACCACAAGCAGCUUUGUUCAAAAACAUCUUGAAUGAAAAGAAUAAGAGAAAGUCCCCAUAUAGGAAUACAAAAAUAACUUUUCAAAUGUUUUUUUUUCGUUUUUUUCUGAAUGACAUAAUUUAUUUAUUUUUUAUAUUGUACAAGUGUGAAACAUCAGUGUUUUCCAGUCAAACAAAAAUUUGAGAAAUGAGCUGCAGACCUUUCUCUGUUGGUGUAACCCUGCUGUAACCUAAGACAAGUGGGUUCAAUUAGAUUAAAUAACAUUUUUGACUUAAAUGCAACUAGUUCA
Non-coding RNA from Megalobrama amblycephala (Wuchang bream), 874 nucleotides. The record is from the annotation of a RefSeq genome assembly. NCBI's taxonomy places the organism in Eukaryota, Metazoa, Chordata, Actinopteri, Cypriniformes, Xenocyprididae.